Neoarius graeffei (lesser salmon catfish) is the source of this 141-nucleotide small nuclear RNA. RefSeq annotates it as U4 spliceosomal RNA. The transcript has a single exon. The record is from RefSeq and is a predicted model, not a curated record. Lineage: Eukaryota; Metazoa; Chordata; Actinopteri; Siluriformes; Ariidae.
AUCCUUGUACAGAGGCAAUAUCAUAGCUUAUGAGGUUUGUCUGAGGUGUGUUUAUUGUUAGUUGAAAACUUUACCCAAUACCCUGUCUGGGUGACUUGAAAACUAGUCAGCUGUGGCAUUUUUUAAAGGUCUUUGAGAAAA